CCUCCUUCCCUCUGGCCUACAUAGAGAAACAUGCAUAACUUCAUCACUUGCCCCUGCAGCCUUGAAGUAAUACCACCGGCUACUUCACGGCGACAACACAUGCUGUAUCAGCGGCGUUUCAUCAUCCACUCCAGCACCACAGCAUCGUCCCGAUGCGCCGUCCCGGGACGGGAUGGAGGCCCGAUGUAUGGAUGUGCGCGUGCGCCCGCGUGUGCGUGUGAGUGACGCAUGCAGAGCCCAGAGGCAUCGCGCCCGCGCUGGAUUACUAAUGAACUAAUCGUGACACAAACCUACACAACAGUAGCUCCAGAUUACGCUUAUCUGCCGGUGUAAUUGUGUGUUUACAGUUGUGGCCCAGUGGGGGGGUGUGUGUGUGUAAUGGAAUGCCCCCCCCCCCCCCCCUCCCCGUGGCGGUGGCAGUGUGUGCGCAGUUUCAUGCAUUUGACAAUAGGCGGGAUCCAGAGUGGAUUUGGAUAAACUUGAUUGUAAUGCGUAUCUCACUGUGCAGCCGCAGACAGCUGGAUAUGAGCCACAAAUCCACGCGAUGGUAGAAAGCUUAAUCCUGCCAGAGGAAGCGGGAUUGUUGGAUGGGAUUGGCGCUAAUUCCGCUGCGCUGCAUGGAGUCAGGCGCUGCAGAUAAAAGGCACUUGGUGGCACCUUCUCUGUUUUAAUGACUCGGGGUUAUUUUUGUACACACCGGGUGAAAACCAAAGUGUCCCGCUGACUCCAUGUGUUUGAUUUGAGGAUCUUGGAAAAUGGAAACGAAAUAUAUAUAAUAUCUCUCUCACAAGAUACAUUUUUUUUAAAUAAAUAGAGAUUAUUUGUAAUCUGGCAGUGGAGUGAAGGGUUUGUACACUAGGGGGCGUCUCGCUCAGUCGAGUUCAAAUCCUGAUUAAGAUUGGACGUGGAACAAACAGGACGUCUUAUGGUGAAUUAAUACAUUAACAACAACACAACGACACCAAAAUAACUCCAAAAAGUGCUCCGGUUGUUGAUGCCAGAAAUGUGAAUCCUUGGAUUUCUUUUUUUUAUUUUACUGGAACAUCCUGGAAAAAAAAAAAUCAAUGCUCAAUAUUGAGUAAAAUCAAUCGUCGCAGUAGUCGGUGUCAGGGACUUUUGUAGUUCCUGGAGUUACUGAGUGCUUGGUUUUGUGUGUGCGUGUGCGUGUGUGUGUGUGUGUGUGUGUGUGUGUGUGUGGAAGAUAAUCCAUAUUAAUUAACCACUUGUCUAAUUGAGCCACAGUGAAUGAAACAUGACCAAACUGAGGCUCCAUCCAGACAGCUGAGUGCUAGCCGGUAUGUAGCCGGGAGCUAGCCGGUGUGGUAGCUGGUGUGCUAACAGGGAGCUAGCCGGUGUGGUAGCUGGUGUGCUAGCCGGGAGCUAGCCGGUGUGGUAGCUGGUGUGCUAACAGGGAGCAAGCCGGUGUGAUAGCUGGUGUGCUAGCCGGGAGCUAGCCGGUGUGAUAGCUGGUGUGCUAACAGGGAGCUAGUCGGUGUGGUAGCUGUUGUGCUAGCAGGGAGCUAGCCGGUAUGCUAACGUUACUGCAAGAAUUGUGCAAGAAUAUGACCAUUACACAUUUUAUUUGGAUUGCAAUUCUGUAAAGACGUUUCAUAAAUCAAAGUUAUUUCAUCAUUUUGAAGUGACCUAUUGUCUACGUUGAAUAUUGUGUAUUUUCCUCAUAUGUGACGGAAAGAAGUGAGUUCUGGUCGAUAUUAAUACGAUGGUGAAAGGUUCUAUGAUUUCCCAUGUGUGUUGACAUCGUACGGUCGGUGAAGAACCAAACAGGCAGUUUGUUGAUUCAUGAAGGAUGCAGAGCGUUUACUGCUCACGGGUUCUUCAGUCGCUUCAACAUUCAGUGAGUCCGUCUUUAUGGAUCCACCUAAUAAAUCUAUUGAUUUCGUUCCAGAUUCACCUGUUCAAAAGAUUUGAAACCCCAUUUUUUUGUUUUGUUUAGAUUUUAAGAGUCAACCUGGAAUUUAAUGGCUUGUGGGUGCAUCGUGUGUAUGUGUGUAUGUGUUAGACAGCCGCGUGUGUGUGUGUGUGUGUGUGGUUUGAGAAAAGAAAUCCCAGCAUUUGCAGCUGUUGGGUUAAAGAAUCCAAUGUGUGUGUGUGUGAUCAUCUACGUGUCCGAGGUCAUGUCACACACUUGGUGGCGCUCGGUUUGGGUGAAGGGUCACGAUUCAGAUCUGAGACCAGCGUCCUGUUGCAAACGUGCUCGUGUGGAUCUGCUCUGUUAGACAGCUGCAGGUGAAUGAUGAGGGAACACACACACACACACACACACACACACUCAACAUGACUCCUCAGCUCCUCCCCCCACCUCCCUCCCCCUCACGUCAACCCCGCCCCCCGAAAUGAUGAUUGC
This is a long non-coding RNA of Gasterosteus aculeatus aculeatus (three-spined stickleback), 2365 nucleotides long. The record is from Ensembl. NCBI's taxonomy places the organism in Eukaryota, Metazoa, Chordata, Actinopteri, Perciformes, Gasterosteidae.